RNAcentral lists this non-coding RNA (22 nucleotides) under Arabidopsis thaliana (thale cress). Lineage: Eukaryota; Viridiplantae; Streptophyta; Magnoliopsida; Brassicales; Brassicaceae. The record is from RNAcentral.
CAUUCAGGAAAGCAUGGAUGGA